AUUUUCCCCGCUCUCCCCUCACUCGCCGUGGUAAAACAAUGGCGCUCCAUCUCGCGCGACCGUUCCUCCCCGCCGGCCUCCCGCCGCCGCCGCGCCGCCGCGCUCGUGCCCGACCACGUUCCCUCUCCCCCACCGCCGACGCGCGGUCCCCGUGCUUCAAGAGACCCUACACGUCCGUCCUGGUGGUCCCCACGGGGGUCGGCGCAGCCGUCGGGGGCUUCGCCGGCGACGCCCUCCCCGUGGCGCGCGCCCUCGCCGCCGUCGCCGAAUGCGUCAUCUCCCACCCCAACGUGCUCAACGCCGCGAUGCUCUACUGGCCGAUGCCCAAUACGCUCUACGUGGAGGGAUACGCCCUCGACAGGUUCGCGGAAGGCGCCUGGGCUCUCCAGCCGGUCCACCAGAACAAGGUAGGCUUGGUGCUGGACUCCGGGAUCGAGGAGGAGCUCCGGCUCCGGCAUUUGCAGGUCGCCGAUGCGGCGAGGGCUUCGCUCGGCCUCCCUGUUGUCGAGUGCACCGUCACCGAUGCUCCUUUGGAGAUCAAGACGUGGUUCGAUCCGAAGUGCGGGAAAUCAACCGGGAGCGUUGGGAACUCCGGUUCCCUGUUAAGAGCGGUCGACGCACUAGUGAACCAUGCAGGCGUGAAUGCUGUGGCUGUUGUUGCGCGCUUUCCUGACGACGAUCCUGAAGAUUCAGAUUGCUAUAGGGAAGGAAAGGGAGUUGAUCUGUUAGCCGGAGUUGAAGCAAUCAUCAGUCAUCUAAUUGUGAAAGAAUUCCAAAUUCCUGCUGCUCACGCUCCUGCGGUGCUGCCCCCACCACUCAGCCCAUCAGUGUCCCCAAGAUCUGCUGCUGAAGAGAUUGGUUAUACCUUUCUACCAUGUGUGCUCGCUGGUUUAAGCACUGCUCCUCAGUAUGUGACGAGGAGGCAGGAAACCUUGGACAGUGGUUGUAUAGUGGCUAGCGAUGUUGAUAGUGUGAUUCUUCCGAGAGAUGCCUGUGGAGGUGAUGGUGCUCUUGCCUUUUCUCGAACUGCAAGAAAGAACAAGCCCUUAAUCAUUACCAUUCAGGAAAAUGAGACGGUGCUCGAUGACACCCCUGAUAAAUUCAACAUUGAAGCGCUGAAUGUCCAGAACUACUGGGAAGCAAUUGGAGUUAUUGCUGCUCACAAGGCAGGCAUCAAUCCAAAUGCUCUUAGAAAACAAGGAAUUGACCAUCUUAAGAGCCAUCGACGAUUGUACUCUGCCCGAUCUUCUGGUCCUAGGCCAUACACCUCUUCUGGAAUGCAGGAUAAAGUAUAUGUACACCAGUUAGUUUGACAAUUUAGUACAGAAGAAAUCAGUUUUAGCAAAUAGGAGGCUGCAAAUUUUGAAGUCCCAGGUACAUAUUCCACAACAGUAGGAGCAUACAUAUGUAACUUUAUUUCGUCGUCACCCCAUGAGGAAUUACAUCGAUAUGCAUACGCGUGUGCAGUGUCAUUGUGAUCAUGGAUGUUGUACUCGAAGCCAUUCUUCAGAUCAAUUAAUUGCUUCAGUUUCUGAGACAGGGGCAGUGCUAUGCUCACCGUCCGCCACACAAGCGUCAUGCUGAUUGCUGAGGGCAUUUAUGUCUUAAUGUGUCAUUCUGCGCUCUCAAAUCGUCGACUCUCUGAUGUUGCUAUCUGCGUCUACUCAGAAGUCAGAAUACGCAUGUUUGCCAGAGUGGGUAGUUGCUGCUUUUGCUUGCUUGUUCCAACUACCAAUCAAACUGGACCUUCAACCUUAGAUAAGGUGCAGCUUAUGACUUGCUGUUCGUGUGUGUUGGUGUGCUAGAUGCCUGUUGUUGAAGUACAUAUCUACCUGAUUUGCACUUCACAAGUAGAUUUUGUGGCUUUAAAUAGUAGUAAGAUCUUUUUGCAGCAUAGUUUCUUUUUCUCACUAGCAUAGUUUAUGCUUUUCAGUGGUUAUAUAUGUCAUCUUUCUUGGUUCUAGAAGUUCCAAGUUAGAUGAUAGGUUGGUGGCAGUCCUUCCUGAAGUUCCUUCAACCUUUGUUAGAACAGCUGGUAUCAGGAUGAACAACCUGACUAU
This 2060-nucleotide ribosomal RNA is filed under the name Triticum aestivum (bread wheat). RNAcentral describes it as "partial small subunit ribosomal RNA". The record is from RNAcentral. Lineage: Eukaryota; Viridiplantae; Streptophyta; Magnoliopsida; Poales; Poaceae.